This 489-nucleotide ribosomal RNA is filed under the name Triticum aestivum (bread wheat). RNAcentral's name for it is "partial small subunit ribosomal RNA". Lineage: Eukaryota; Viridiplantae; Streptophyta; Magnoliopsida; Poales; Poaceae. The record is from RNAcentral.
AUGAACACUUCUAGGAAAUCAACGAAAUCUGGUUUGUUGGAAAAGCAACAAUUUGUUUGCAACAAAUUCCGAAAACCCAAAGUUGAUGACGGAGGUGCAGAAACUGCCCCAAUCCUAGAUGUGAUUGAAGAUUUUAAUGGAGAUGCCGAUGAAGGUGAGGAUGAUGAGAUUGUCUUCCUUGAUGAUGAGUGUAAAAAGAAGAAGAAAUCUAAGAGAAGAAAGCGAGACACAAUAGUCCAAACAGGGUGCAGAGCAAGAAUGGUUGUGAAGCUAAUGGACAGUCGGUGGGAGGUGAUUUUCUUUGUUCGUGAACACAAUCAUGCAUUGGUUGACAAACCAUCACUAACUAAGUACCUCCGAUCACAUCAAGGGAUUCCUCCGGAAGAAAAACUAUUCCUGAAGAAUCUUCAUAACUGUAAUUUGACCACAGGUCUGUGUCCACAUUCAACCCAAAAAAAACUCUGUUUUCUUGUGGGAAUUUUUUCAUAA